Molecule: ribosomal RNA, 1007 nt
Filed under: Petrakia fagi
Lineage: Eukaryota; Fungi; Ascomycota; Dothideomycetes; Pleosporales; Melanommataceae
Description: SSU rRNA
Rfam family: Eukaryotic small subunit ribosomal RNA
Source: RNAcentral
CUGCGAAUGGCUCAUUAAAUCAGUUAUCGUUUAUUUGAUAGUACCUUACCACUUGGAUAACCGUGGUAAUUCUAGAGCUAAUACAUGCUAAAAACCCCGACUUCGGAAGGGGUGUGUUUAUUAGAUAAAAAACCAAUGCCCUUUGGGGCUCUUUGGUGAUUCAUGAUAACCUAACGGAUCGCAUGGCCUUGCGCCGGCGACGGUUCAUUCAAAUUUCUGCCCUAUCAACUUUCGAUGGUAAGGUAUUGGCUUACCAUGGUUUCAACGGGUAACGGGGAAUUAGGGUUCGAUUCCGGAGAGGGAGCCUGAGAAACGGCUACCACAUCCAAGGAAGGCAGCAGGCGCGCAAAUUACCCAAUCCCGACACGGGGAGGUAGUGACAAUAAAUACUGAUACAGGGCUCUUUUGGGUCUUGUAAUUGGAAUGAGUACAAUUUAAACCCCUUAACGAGGAACAAUUGGAGGGCAAGUCUGGUGCCAGCAGCCGCGGUAAUUCCAGCUCCAAUAGCGUAUAUUAAAGUUGUUGCAGUUAAAAAGCUCGUAGUUGAAACUUGGGUCUGGCUAGCGGGUCCGCCUCACCGCGUGCACUUGUCCGGCUGGACCUUUCCUUCUGGAGAACCUCAUGCCCUUCACUGGGUGUGUUGGGGAACCAGGACUUUUACUUUGAAAAAAUUAGAGUGUUCAAAGCAGGCCUUUGCUCGAAUACGUUAGCAUGGAAUAAUAGAAUAGGACGUGCGGUCCUAUUUUGUUGGUUUCUAGGAUCGCCGUAAUGAUUAAUAGGGAUAGUCGGGGGCAUCAGUAUUCAAUUGUCAGAGGUGAAAUUCUUGGAUUUAUUGAAGACUAACUACUGCGAAAGCAUUUGCCAAGGAUGUUUUCAUUAAUCAGUGAACGAAAGUUAGGGGAUCGAAGACGAUCAGAUACCGUCGUAGUCUUAACCGUAAACUAUGCCGACUAGGGAUCGGGCGAUGUUUCUAUCUUGACUCGCUCGGCACCUUACGAGAAAUCAAA